RNAcentral lists this ribosomal RNA (358 nucleotides) under uncultured organism. RNAcentral's name for it is "bacterial SSU rRNA". It matches the Rfam family "Bacterial small subunit ribosomal RNA", at positions 537 to 893 of the family's 1533-position model. The record is from RNAcentral.
AGCGUUGUCCGGAUUUACUGGGUGUAAAGGGCGGGUAGGCGGAUUUGCAAGUCAGAUGUGAAAGCCCGGGGCUUAACCCCGGAAUUGCAUUUGAAACUGUAGAUCUUGAGUGAUGGGGAGGCAGGCGGAAUUCCCGGUGUAGCGGUGGAAUGCGUAGAUAUCGGGAGGAACACCAGUGGCGAAGGCGGCCUGCUGGACAUUAACUGACGCUGAGGAGCGAAAGCGUGGGGAGCAAACAGGAUUAGAUACCCUGGUAGUCCACGCUGUAAACGAUGGAUACUAGGUGUGGGAGGUAUUGACCCCUUCCGUGCCGGAGUUAACACAAUAAGUAUCCCACCUGGGGAGUACGGCCGCAAGG